RNAcentral lists this transfer RNA (74 nucleotides) under Pseudomonadota bacterium. RNAcentral's name for it is "tRNA-Pro". It matches the Rfam family "tRNA". From Rfam's summary of the family: Transfer RNA (tRNA) molecules are approximately 80 nucleotides in length. Their secondary structure includes four short double-helical elements and three loops (D, anti-codon, and T loops). The record is from RNAcentral. Lineage: Bacteria; Pseudomonadati; Pseudomonadota.
CGGGGUGUAGCUCAGUCUGGUAGAGCGCUGCGUUUGGGACGCAGAUGCCGGAGGUUCGAAUCCUCUCACCCCGA